Molecule: ribosomal RNA, 521 nt
Filed under: Megalaria phayapipakiana
Lineage: Eukaryota; Fungi; Ascomycota; Lecanoromycetes; Lecanorales; Megalariaceae
Description: partial large subunit ribosomal RNA
Rfam family: Eukaryotic large subunit ribosomal RNA
Source: RNAcentral
UGCCUUAGUAACGGCGAGUGAAGCGGCAACAGCUCAAAUUUGAAAUCUGGCUCCUUCGGGGCUCGAGUUGUAAUUUGCAGAGGAUGUUUCGGGUGCGGCGCCGGUCUAGGUCCCUUGGAACAGGGCGUCAUAGAGGGUGAGAAUCCCGUAUGCGACUGGUGACCAACCCCAUGUGAAACGCCUUCGACGAGUCGAGUUGUUUGGGAAUGCAGCUCAAAAUGGGUGGUAAAUUUCAUCUAAAGCUAAAUACUGGCCGGAGACCGAUAGCGCACAAGUAGAGUGAUCGAAAGAUGAAAAGCACUUUGGAAAGAGAGUCAAACAGUACGUGAAAUUGUUGAAAGGGAAGCGCUUGGCGCCAGACCUGCCGGCGGGUGAUCAGCGGUCGUUCUCGGCCGUGUACUCGCCCGUCAUCAGGCCAGCAUCGGUUUUGGCGGUCGGAUAAAGGCCUUGGGAAUGUAGCUCCCCUCGGGGAGUGUUAUAGCCCUCGGUGGAAUGCGGCCAGCCGGGACCGAGGACCGCGC